RNAcentral lists this transfer RNA (76 nucleotides) under Herpetosiphonaceae bacterium. RNAcentral describes it as "tRNA-Arg". It matches the Rfam family "tRNA". Rfam says of the family: Transfer RNA (tRNA) molecules are approximately 80 nucleotides in length. Lineage: Bacteria; Bacillati; Chloroflexota; Chloroflexia; Herpetosiphonales; Herpetosiphonaceae. The record is from RNAcentral.
GGGCGCGUAGCUCAGUGGAUAGAGCACUGGUCUUCGGAACCAGGUGUCGGGGGUUCGAAUCCCUCCGCGCCCGCCA